This 450-nucleotide ribosomal RNA is filed under the name uncultured bacterium. RNAcentral describes it as "partial 16S ribosomal RNA". It matches the Rfam family "Bacterial small subunit ribosomal RNA", at positions 354 to 796 of the family's 1533-position model. The record is from RNAcentral.
GUGGGGAAUUUUGGACAAUGGGCGCAAGCCUGAUCCAGCCAUGCCGCGUGCAGGAUGAAGGCCUUCGGGUUGUAAACUGCUUUUGUACGGAACGAAAAGCCUCUGGUUAAUACCCGGGGGUCAUGACGGUACCGUAAGAAUAAGCACCGGCUAACUACGUGCCAGCAGCCGCGGUAAUACGUAGGGUGCGAGCGUUAAUCGGAAUUACUGGGCGUAAAGCGUGCGCAGGCGGUGAUGUAAGACAGUUGUGAAAUCCCCGGGCUCAACCUGGGAACUGCAUCUGUGACUGCAUUGCUGGAGUGCGGCAGAGGGGGAUGGAAUUCCGCGUGUAGCAGUGAAAUGCGUAGAUAUGCGGAGGAACACCGAUGGCGAAGGCAAUCCCCUGGGCCUGCACUGACGCUCAUGCACGAAAGCGUGGGGAGCAAACAGGAUUAGAAACCCCGGUAGUCC